CCUACGGGGGGCUGCAGUAGGGAAUUUUUCACAAUGGGCGAAAGCCUGAUGGAGUAAUGCCGCGUGAAUGAUGAAGGUCUUAUAGAUUGUAAAAUUCUUUUAUUUGGGAAGAAAAACUAAAGUAGGAAAUGACUUUAGUCUGACUGUACCAUUUGAAUAAGUAUCGGCUAACUAUGUGCCAGCAGCCGCGGUAAUACGGAGGGUGCGAGCGUUAAUCGGAAUUACUGGGCGUAAAGCGCUCGUAGGCGGUAUGUCAAGUCAAGGGUGAAAUCCCCGCGCUCAACGUGGGAACUGCCUUUGAAACUGGCAAACUGGAGUGUGUGAGAGGAUAGUGGAAUUCCAGGUGUAGGAGUGAAAUCCGUAGAUAUCUGGAGGAACAUCAGUGGCGAAGGCGACUAUCUGGCACAUAACUGACGCUGAGGAGCGAAAGCGUGGGUAGCAAACAGGAUUAGAUACCCGUGUAGUC
This 466-nucleotide ribosomal RNA is filed under the name uncultured bacterium. RNAcentral's name for it is "partial 16S ribosomal RNA". It matches the Rfam family "Bacterial small subunit ribosomal RNA", at positions 338 to 795 of the family's 1533-position model. The record is from RNAcentral.